GGAAAACAAGCCUUGGAGAGGAAGAGCAGUUGGGCAGGUGGCCUUAGAAGCAGAGACAGACGUCCCUGUUGAUACCACUGUUGAUGGAGAAGCACUCGGCUCUCCUCCAUCAGGGGAAACCAAACCUGCCACCCCACCUGGGAUGUGGCCUCCCCAGGGAAAGAGUAGAGAGGCUGGAGCUCUGGCAGAACAGGCCUGGCAAGGGGGCUGGAGGCCAAGGCUGGUGUUGGGGCUCAGAUCAAAGCCAUCAUGCUGCAUGGAGCCCAAUCAGCUGCCAACACUCUUGGUGACACAGAGCCCUCACGCCUCUGGUGGAAGAAGCCAGGGCUGGAUGAAGCUGUGGCGUGCAGCUUCUGCACAGUCUCCGUGGAAUCUCUCCUACUCUCCCGUGAGCCUUUGGAGGCCUUGCAGGAGCUCAGCCUUUCAGCAGAAGGACUGGGUUCAACCGCCCCUGCAGGAGCAGCUCCUUGGCCUCCCAGGCACCAGUGGUUGGGGGCUGCAUCCUCUGUGAGCCUCAGGUCAAGCCCAUACAGUGCCCUAGACUCCUCCCUGCUCUGACCCUGGGCCCAGGAGAAAGGCCGAGCACCUGGCCCUCUGGAGACAAGGACAUGGCCAUUCCUCAGAGGUCCUUCCCCUGACAAGCUGGGCCCCCUGUUGUGGGGCGCACCACUGGACAUGGUAGGGGAGUGGUGGCGGCCUUGCCCGAAGGCAGGCUGCGGGAGGGGCGGGGCUGGCUCACCACAGUUGGUUGAUUCAAGUGAGGCCUGGGGUCCUGCUCUCCUUCCAGCUUCCAUCUCAGGAUGGCUCUCAGCCCCCCACAUUGAAGACCAAGAAGGUGAGGGGCAAACCAAGGGCCCUGCCUAUGGAAGCUUCCUGUGAUGGGCUGCAGGUAGCAGGGGCUGGAGAGGGCUGUGGUUGGGGCCACACCAGGCUCCCCCAACCUGAGCAUCCUGGAAGGUGACAGCUCACCCUUGGCAGUGGCAACCCCCAGGCCAGCAGCCCCAUCUGAGGACAGUUGUCUUCAGUGCCAUUGGCUGUGGCAGCACAGAUGGGGGGUGUGAAGACCUGAGGCCCUGCGACUGUAGCACCUACAGCCACUGGAGCCAGCUCUGCACAACUCAGACCUGGGUGGCGAGGACAUAGCUUUGCAGGUGGGCAGCCACAUCCCAGGGGGAGCCUGCAGGCCAGUGGCAGGGUGGGGGCAGGCAGAGCAGGGUCUCCCCACUGUUGCCGCUGGGCUCCUGCGGCUUGUGGAGAAAGAUGGGUGGGCCCACACAUAUUGCUGCUCCCUGGAUCUGAGCCUCGGUUUCCCUACCUGUGAAACGGGUACCCAUGGCAGCUCAGAAGUGUCUGGCAGUGGGGCUGCUGGGGCACAGUCAUGGGGGACCCGAGUCCUGCUCUCCAUGUGCUCGCUUCCCUCAGUGGUCCCUGAUGCCAGCAGAACUUUCUCCCAAAAAGAGAAGGGCGUUCCUGUGAGUUCUUGUGUGGGGGGUGGGUCACAGAGCCUCUCCAAGUGCAGGGCAGGGUGAAGGGAGGCUGAGGGGUGGUUGAAUGGCCCUGGGAAGAGCUCUCUUGGGCUCCUCGUGUCUGGGUGGCCUGGGGAGCAUGCUUUUGGGCAGGCGGCUGGCAGGGCUGGUGGCUGAGCCACUGUGGCUCAGGAUCCCCAGCCCAGGCCUGAAUAGGGUAGGCAGGGAGAGGGGAGGGUGAGUGCAUGGUGCAGGACAGUGUGUCUCCUGGACAGAAACAGCCCUGGUCACUCACGGCCAUGGCAUAGCCAUGGCUACAGGAAAGUGCUGCUGUGUGUUGCAGCCCCUGGGGCCGGCUCCCAAUGGACACCCAGCAGCAUCUCCCCCACUGUGCUGAGGGGAGUUGUGCCAGUGGGGUGCUGGCAGCAGUCCUGGGAACUGGGGGAAGAGCCUUGGCAAGCCCAUCCCUCCUCGGGCAUCAGGGAUGGGCUCACGUGACCAAUUUCUCCCAUGGAAGAUGUUUGGGGUGUGCCCAGAAAAUGGGGAGGGCCCUGUGGGGCAGGAUUGUAUUAUUAAAUCCAGAAAGUCUGGGGUUCCAUUUUUAGCACAAGGCAGGCAGCCCACGUGCCCCAGCCCAGUGGCCAGCCUGUGUGGGAGAGGGGAGUGGGGGCCAGAGGGAGUGAGGCUUCUGUUACUGCAGCCAGCCAGGGUGGCCAGUGUGGACUGGACAGCGGGCACUGCACCAGGGGCACUGGUACUGACCUUGGGCCAUGCACCUGAUGCCUGUGAGAGUGAUCUCUAGGAACCACUGCACAAGGGGGCAGAUGAGGGAACCCUGACAUGGGACAGCUGAGGGUUACGCCAACACGGGGGGGAAAGCUGUGUCCAGGCUCCACCGGACUCCGCCGAGGACAGAGCACUGCCCUGACUCUAGGGUGCGGGGUCACUGAGGGUUAGGACAGUCUGGAGUUGGGAGAGGGCCAUGCUGCAGCUGGGGCACAUCCCACCUGCACCUCUCUAGAUCUUGGAGAUGGGACCCCCACCCACAUGCUCCCCAGGUGGGUCCCAUCCUGGGGGGUGCAGGAGGGAGCUCCAUGUGCCCCUGCUGAUCUGCCCAUCUGAGCCUCAGGGGUCCUGGGCACUGAGAGCUGGGCUGGGCUCAGCGGGGGUAUGCAUUGACAUUGGGGACAGAGAGGGGAUGCUGAAGCGGGUGCUGUCUGGGUGGGGCCUGCCUGAUCGACCCAGCAGGUGCACCCAGCAGCCGGAGGUGCUUCUAGCAGAGUGAACGCCCUGUCCUUAGGGGCAUGUGAGCUGAGGCUGGGGGCCUGGAGCUGCAGGGGGAGGAAUUGGGGAGAGCAGAGGUCCCAAAGAUGUCCCAAGGCCCCAAGACCCUGGUGAAGGAAUGGAGGAGCCAGCAUUGGUCGGCGAGAGGGGAGUGGGAGUUGGAUGGCCUGGCUCUGGGCUGGACACACGGUUUGCAGCCACAGCUGAGCUGUGCUGUGGAGCCCAGUUCCCACCUGGGCAUGUCCUGUCCUCUGAGGCUUCCGGGAGCCGGACGGCCACCGCGGUGCAGGCGCGCACUCAAGGGCUUUCGAGGCUCACUCUGUCGGAGAGGUCAGAGACUGAGUGUCGCUGCUGAAGGCUGUGGUGGACCGGGCUGGAUCGCGGAUUCUAGGUUAGAUCGCAGAUUUGGGAUCGCGGAUUGGGGAUUGGAUUGGGGAUUUGGGGUUGGAUCAGGGAUGUGGGGGCUGGAUAGGGGAUUUGAGGAUUGGAUCGGGGAUUUGGGGUUGGAUCCUGGAUUUGGGGCCGGGUCGGCGGUGGGGGGCAGUGAAAAGGUGACAGAGAGCAGCCCCUGCUCAGGAGCCGGUGGUUGGGGGUCUGAGAAGUCACCACCACCAAGAAGUUCUUCGGCUUCGGGAGCCGCGGGGGCGAGAUGGCCCGGGCUCCAUAGACCACGUCUGCACGGUUCCGGGUACCGAAUCCGGGACGCGGAACAGCGGAAAAUCCAAGGGCGGCUGUCAAGGACCGGAGGUGGAGCGCGGCCUGGAGCGCAGGAGCCGGAGACCUGGAGGCCCGGGACAAGCAGCACAGAACUGCUCUACAUUUGGCCUGUGCCAGCGGCCAUGUGGAAGUGGUCACUCUCCUGGUGAACAGACAAUGCCAAAUUGACAUCUGUGACAAAGAAAAGAGUGUGCCUUUGAUACAGGCACAGGCUGUGCAUUGCCAAGAAGAGGCUUGUGCCAUUAUUCUGCUGGAACGUGGCGCCAAUCCAAACCUUAAGGAUGUCUACAGCAACACUGCUCUCCAGUAUGCUGUGUAUAGUGAGAGCACAUCACUGGCAAAAAAACUGCUUUCCCAUGAUGCAAAUACUGAAGCACUGGACAAGGAUCUCACUCUGUCACUCAGGCUGGAAUAAAGUGGCACAACUGUG
RNAcentral lists this long non-coding RNA (3897 nucleotides) under Homo sapiens (human). Its description in RNAcentral is "non-protein coding lnc-C1QTNF9B-1:4". The record is from RNAcentral. Lineage: Eukaryota; Metazoa; Chordata; Mammalia; Primates; Hominidae.